RNAcentral lists this ribosomal RNA (213 nucleotides) under uncultured bacterium. Its description in RNAcentral is "partial 16S ribosomal RNA". It matches the Rfam family "Bacterial small subunit ribosomal RNA", at positions 524 to 736 of the family's 1533-position model. The record is from RNAcentral.
UACGUAGGGUGCGAGCGUUAAUCGGAAUUACUGGGCGUAAAGCGUGCGCAGGCGGUUUUGUAAGCCAGAUGUGAAAUCCCCGGGCUUAACCUGGGAAUGGCAUUUGGGACUGCAAGGCUUGAGUGCGGCAGAGGAGACUGGAAUUCCUGGUGUAGCAGUGAAAUGCGUAGAUAUCAGGAGGAACACCGAUGGCGAAGGCAGGUCUCUGGGCUG